Molecule: ribosomal RNA, 704 nt
Filed under: uncultured bacterium
Lineage: Bacteria
Description: bacterial SSU rRNA
Rfam family: Bacterial small subunit ribosomal RNA
Source: RNAcentral
GGUCUUCGGAUGCUGACGAGUGGCGAACGGGUGAGUAAUACAUCGGAACGUGCCUAGUAGUGGGGGAUAACUACUCGAAAGAGUGGCUAAUACCGCAUGAGAUCUACGGAUGAAAGCAGGGGAUCGCAAGACCUUGUGCUACUAGAGCGGCCGAUGGCAGAUUAGGUAGUUGGUGGGAUAAAAGCUUACCAAGCCGACGAUCUGUAGCUGGUCUGAGAGGACGAUCAGCCACACUGGGACUGAGACACGGCCCAGACUCCUACGGGAGGCAGCAGUGGGGAAUUUUGGACAAUGGGCGCAAGCCUGAUCCAGCAAUGCCGCGUGCAGGAUGAAGGCCUUCGGGUUGUAAACUGCUUUUGUACGGAACGAAAAGCCCUGGGUUAAUACCCUGGGGUCAUGACGGUACCGUAAGAAUAAGCACCGGCUAACUACGUGCCAGCAGCCGCGGUAAUACGUAGGGUGCGAGCGUUAAUCGGAAUUACUGGGCGUAAAGCGUGCGCAGGCGGUUUUGUAAGACAGAGGUGAAAUCCCCGGGCUCAACCUGGGAACUGCCUUUGUGACUGCAAGGCUAGAGUACGGCAGAGGGGGAUGGAAUUCCGCGUGUAGCAGUGAAAUGCGUAGAUAUGCGGAGGAACACCGAUGGCGAAGGCAAUCCCCUGGGCCUGUACUGACGCUCAUGCACGAAAGCGUGGGGAGCAAACAGG